Molecule: long non-coding RNA, 1182 nt
Organism: Calidris pugnax (ruff)
Lineage: Eukaryota; Metazoa; Chordata; Aves; Charadriiformes; Scolopacidae
Exons: 2
Source: RefSeq, a predicted model, not a curated record
GAAAGAGCGAGCGACAACCAAUCGCAACGCGGCGUCCGGAGACUCGUUUGCAUAUUUCGCGCGCCAGGGAGAAAGGGCGCUUGGGGCGAGAACGGCCAAUCAGAUUUCAAUAAAGAAGAUUGCUGACAUUGGGAGACCUCGGUUCAAAACACCCCCGGGGGGAAAGAAGGCUGAAGCACUGCAAGAGGAACCAACCACAGUUAUGUUUAGUUACCCUGAAUUCCACCUACAUCUCCCUGGCUGGAAAUUCCUGUGAGCUAGUUGGAAAUGUUUUAUCUGCAGAGAUGAUCUAAACUGUCUGAAGUGUCUUAGUUGUUUAAGGUUUCAUUCAUUUUCAUUGUUUCAUGGUUUCAUUUCUCCCUGUUCAGGAGGGCCUGAAAGGCAGUGGGUGGUUCGGGAGCUGGGUCGCAGGUGGAGGAGUGGGAGGUUUGUAUCUCUGCUGUGUCUGCGCCGCCACGGUUUAUCUUACUAAGCUUGAAGCACCAACGUCCUUGGCCAAAAUACCUCAGGUGAAAUUGCUGCAUGGAAGUCAAAACACCAUUUACUUCAAUACACCUGAGGUUUCACCUAUUUCAUACCAUAAUUUAGACUGGAAAAUAACCUACCCCAGCUUCCCCACGCAAAUACGCACAUAGUUCCUUGUUAGCUUAAAAAUGGUAUUUUUGACUCUCUAUUUUUUUCCCUUGGAUUCAGCUUGACAGCAUGUAACACAUCACACCACAGAAAAUGCAGCACAAGUUUAGUUGAGCUGUAGCGCUUCAGCUGCAGCAUUUAUUUAUAAAACAACCAACCAAAAAAAAAUAAUAUUAUGAAAUCAUUGAUUCAAAGGAAUCAAUAAUAAAUAUUUGCUUUCCUCUGAGUUGUUCAGACACAGUACAAGUGCACCAAUUAUAGCAGGUAGAAGAGAUGUAAGCGUAGUUUAGCUGCUGAGAAACAAAAGAAAGCUACGUAACAUUGUAUGCAUUUAAUCACACUAGUAAUAACUGGUAUAUGACAGUAAAUGCUUUAAGUACACUAUUUUACAAAAUAGAGUUUGGCUUAUGGUUCAUUUGCUUCCCUUGUGCAACUCCUGAUGGUCUCAUCCGGAGCUCAGAAAAUGUCCCUUGGAAAAUAAAAUACCUUUGAAAUGAUCUCUUGUAUUUCCCUUGAGUAAUAAACGUUUCCCUUUGGGCUUCACACUGA